Molecule: ribosomal RNA, 443 nt
Filed under: uncultured bacterium
Lineage: Bacteria
Description: partial 16S ribosomal RNA
Rfam family: Bacterial small subunit ribosomal RNA
Source: RNAcentral
CCUACGGGAGGCUGCAGUGGGGAAUAUUGGACAAUGGGGGGAACCCUGAUCCAGCGACGCCGCGUGAGUGAAGAAGUAUUUCGGUAUGUAAAGCUCUAUCAGCAGGGAAGAAAGAAAUGAUGGUACCUGACUAAGAAGCCCCGGCUAACUACGUGCCAGCAGCCGCGGUAAUACGUAGGGGGCAAGCGUUAUCCGGAUUUACUGGGUGUAAAGGGAGCGUAGACGGCGAUGCAAGUCUGAAGUGAAAGGCGGGGGCCCAACCCCCGGACUGCUUUGGAAACUGUAUGGCUGGAGUGCAGGAGCGGUAAGUGGAAUUCAUAGUGUAGCGGUGAAAUGCGUAGAGAUUAGGAGGAACACCAGUGGCGAAGGCGGCUUACUGGACUGUAACUGACGUUGAGGCUCGAAAGCGUGGGGAGCAAACAGGAUUAGAUACCCCGGUAGUC